AUUUUUGGUUCAAGUGAUACAGAAUGACGUCAGGGUGAUACAGAUACAGAACGGCGUCCAUCUUUGAUUUGAUACAGAUAUUAUCAUCUCUACAGAGGAUGAAAUCCAUAAAUAAAUAUUAUUUGAAUAAUUCUCUAUUAUAUCAGUGUUUAAUGAUAUUUAGAUAGUUUUUAAUAUUGGUUUCAAUUGACCUACAGAUUUUUUGGUUAUUUUUUUUUUGACUGAAAAUUGUACUCAACUCAAAAUGAAUUGAGGUUAUGAAAAUAUUAACCAUAGAUAACCAAUUUUUGGAAUUUUUAGUCUGAAUCUAAAUUUAAAAGAGGAAUAGGACAGUUUUUAUCUCAUCUCUCCGAUCAUUUUGAUUUAAAUUAUAUGUGGAAAUAAUUAAAGAAUGAAACUGUUAAUUUGGUAAACAGAUACAGGAAUUUGGAGGUUAGCCUAUUUAUAUUUAGCAUAUUUUCCUAGUUUUAUCCCAACCUAGCAAAUAAUAACAGUUUAGCUUGUUAGAACGACAACUUGUUGCUUGGUAUGGAUUGUAAGACACAGAAGAAGACGCAUUUAGAUGUUUUUGGAUCUUGAAUCUUGAUGCUCACAGAAAAGCAAGUCAACCAGACAGGCUCUGAAAAUUGAUGAAAUGGAACAAAUUAUUUGGACAAGACACUAGAAAAAUUCUACUCGAUCGGUUUUGAAAUCAUACCUCAAGAAACUUGCGAGAUCUUCGUCUGCACUGCAAAACCAUUUUAGGGUUUGUUGGAGGCGAACGACAUCCACAACAAUGGGAUAGCGGGGUUCGGGCGCCAACCCGACAGUGACAGUGGUGCACUGCGAGAUCCACCACGGACAGACGGGUGGCUUGUACGGGCUCGGCCAGUUCAUCGACAACCGCAUCCAUU
Long non-coding RNA from Nilaparvata lugens (brown planthopper), 893 nucleotides. RefSeq lists it as uncharacterized. Lineage: Eukaryota; Metazoa; Arthropoda; Insecta; Hemiptera; Delphacidae. The transcript has 4 exons. The record is from RefSeq and is a predicted model, not a curated record.